Molecule: ribosomal RNA, 253 nt
Filed under: uncultured bacterium
Lineage: Bacteria
Description: partial 16S ribosomal RNA
Rfam family: Bacterial small subunit ribosomal RNA
Source: RNAcentral
UACGUAGGGACCAAGCGUUAUCCGGAGUUACUGGGCGUAAAGGGCGUGCAGGCGGCAGUCUAAGUCUGGCGUGAAAUAUCCCGGCUUAACCGGGGAAGGUCGUCGGAUACUGGGCAGCUAGAGGGCGGUAGAGGCGUGUGGAAUUCCGGGUGUAGUGGUGAAAUGCGUAGAGAUCCGGAGGAACACCAGUGGCGAAGGCGACACGCUGGGCCGCACCUGACGCUAAGACGCGACAGCAUGGGGAGCAAACAGG